GGAGGGGAAGGGGGAGGAGAAAAAGGAGGAGAAGGAGGAGGAGGAGGAGGAGGAGGAGGAGGAGGAGGAGGAGGAGGAGGAGGAAAAGGAGGAGUAAUAUCUCCAAAACAAUAAUACACAAGAAAAAGAACUUGAGCAAAGAGGACAAGAAGAAAAGGAAGCGAGAAAAGAUUUUUCAAAGCCCUUUAAAGUAUGCCAAGCUCCUCAUAUAUAUAUAUAUAUAUAUAUAUAAAUAUAUAUAUAUAUCUUCAUAUCUAAUCCCAACACCAACACAAUAAGACCACUUUACAGGUGAGGAAAAUGAGGCAAACCAAGUUAGAUGACUUCUCCAAGAUCACACUUCUGAGAAGGAAACUGAUGCCUAAGGAGGGGCCCAAAGUCAUGAAAUGGAGGCAGAAAUUAAGACCCAAAGAGAAGAAGAAACCCAAUCAACAUCACAUUCAGGUAAGUGACAGAGCUAUCAAUCCAGGUCUUCACACUUCAAAUCUAGAAUACUUUCUACUGUGUCAUUUUUCCUCUUGUAUACAAUUUAUACUUUGCAAUUCAUUCACACUACAGUAGAGUUUAAUUGCAUUCAUGUGUCUACAUGUGUUAAUGGUAGAAAAAGAAUGAGAAAGGGAAAUAUUAACAGAAGAGAGAGUGGAAGACUGCAAGUUUUGUUCUUUGGUGGGAGAAAUACCUUUCUAGUGGUAGCAAUUCGUUCAAUGAAUAAACAGAUAUUAAACACCUACUAUAUGUUAGGU
RNAcentral lists this long non-coding RNA (743 nucleotides) under Monodelphis domestica (gray short-tailed opossum). RNAcentral describes it as "lncRNA (ENSMODG00000043425.1)". Lineage: Eukaryota; Metazoa; Chordata; Mammalia; Didelphimorphia; Didelphidae. The record is from RNAcentral.